This 2934-nucleotide ribosomal RNA is filed under the name Enterobacter cloacae complex sp. FDA-CDC-AR_0132. RNAcentral describes it as "bacterial LSU rRNA". It matches the Rfam family "Bacterial large subunit ribosomal RNA". Lineage: Bacteria; Pseudomonadati; Pseudomonadota; Gammaproteobacteria; Enterobacterales; Enterobacteriaceae. The record is from RNAcentral.
GGGUUGUGAGGUUAAGCGACUAAGCGUACACGGUGGAUGCCCUGGCAGUCAGAGGCGAUGAAGGACGUGCUAAUCUGCGAAAAGCGCCGGCGAGGUGAUAUGAACCUUUGACCCGGCGAUGUCCGAAUGGGGAAACCCAGUGUGUUCCGACACACUAUCGUUAACUGAAUACAUAGGUUAACGAGGCGAACCGGGGGAACUGAAACAUCUAAGUACCCCGAGGAAAAGAAAUCAACCGAGAUUCCCCCAGUAGCGGCGAGCGAACGGGGAGCAGCCCAGAGUCUGAAUCAGCUUGUGUGUUAGUGGAAGCGUCUGGAAAGUCGCACGGUACAGGGUGAAAGUCCCGUACACGAAAGCACACAGGCUGUGAACUCGAAGAGUAGGGCGGGACACGUGGUAUCCUGUCUGAAUAUGGGGGGACCAUCCUCCAAGGCUAAAUACUCCUGACUGACCGAUAGUGAACCAGUACCGUGAGGGAAAGGCGAAAAGAACCCCGGCGAGGGGAGUGAAAAAGAACCUGAAACCGUGUACGUACAAGCAGUGGGAGCCUCUUUUAUGGGGUGACUGCGUACCUUUUGUAUAAUGGGUCAGCGACUUAUAUUCUGUAGCAAGGUUAACCGUAUAGGGGAGCCGAAGGGAAACCGAGUCUUAACUGGGCGUUAAGUUGCAGGGUAUAGACCCGAAACCCGGUGAUCUAGCCAUGGGCAGGUUGAAGGUUGGGUAACACUAACUGGAGGACCGAACCGACUAAUGUUGAAAAAUUAGCGGAUGACUUGUGGCUGGGGGUGAAAGGCCAAUCAAACCGGGAGAUAGCUGGUUCUCCCCGAAAGCUAUUUAGGUAGCGCCUCGUGAAUUCAUCUUCGGGGGUAGAGCACUGUUUCGGCUAGGGGGCCAUCCCGGCUUACCAACCCGAUGCAAACUACGAAUACCGAAGAAUGUUAUCACGGGAGACACACGGCGGGUGCUAACGUCCGUCGUGAAGAGGGAAACAACCCAGACCGCCAGCUAAGGUCCCAAAGUCAUGGUUAAGUGGGAAACGAUGUGGGAAGGCACAGACAGCCAGGAUGUUGGCUUAGAAGCAGCCAUCAUUUAAAGAAAGCGUAAUAGCUCACUGGUCGAGUCGGCCUGCGCGGAAGAUGUAACGGGGCUAAACCAUGCACCGAAGCUGCGGCAGCGACGCUUAUGCGUUGUUGGGUAGGGGAGCGUUCUGUAAGCCGUUGAAGGUGUCCUGUGAGGGGUGCUGGAGGUAUCAGAAGUGCGAAUGCUGACAUAAGUAACGAUAAAGCGGGUGAAAAGCCCGCUCGCCGGAAGACCAAGGGUUCCUGUCCAACGUUAAUCGGGGCAGGGUGAGUCGACCCCUAAGGCGAGGCCGAAAGGCGUAGUCGAUGGGAAACAGGUUAAUAUUCCUGUACUUGGUGUUACUGCGAAGGGGGGACGGAGAAGGCUAUGUUAGCCGGGCGACGGUUGUCCCGGUUUAAGCAUGUAGGCGGAGGUUCCAGGUAAAUCCGGUUCCUUGUUAACGCUGAGGUGUGAUGACGAGGCACUACGGUGCUGAAGUAACAAAUGCCCUGCUUCCAGGAAAAGCCUCUAAGCAUCAGGUAACAUCAAAUCGUACCCCAAACCGACACAGGUGGUCAGGUAGAGAAUACCAAGGCGCUUGAGAGAACUCGGGUGAAGGAACUAGGCAAAAUGGUGCCGUAACUUCGGGAGAAGGCACGCUGAUAUGUAGGUGAAGUCCCUGCGGAUGGAGCUGAAAUCAGUCGAAGAUACCAGCUGGCUGCAACUGUUUAUUAAAAACACAGCACUGUGCAAACACGAAAGUGGACGUAUACGGUGUGACGCCUGCCCGGUGCCGGAAGGUUAAUUGAUGGGGUUAGCGGUAACGCGAAGCUCUUGAUCGAAGCCCCGGUAAACGGCGGCCGUAACUAUAACGGUCCUAAGGUAGCGAAAUUCCUUGUCGGGUAAGUUCCGACCUGCACGAAUGGCGUAAUGAUGGCCAGGCUGUCUCCACCCGAGACUCAGUGAAAUUGAACUCGCUGUGAAGAUGCAGUGUACCCGCGGCAAGACGGAAAGACCCCGUGAACCUUUACUAUAGCUUGACACUGAACACUGGUCCUUGAUGUGUAGGAUAGGUGGGAGGCUUUGAAGCGUGGACGCCAGUCUGCGUGGAGCCAACCUUGAAAUACCACCCUUUAAUGGCUGGUGUUCUAACGUAGACCCGUGAUCCGGGUUGCGGACAGUGUCUGGUGGGUAGUUUGACUGGGGCGGUCUCCUCCCAAAGAGUAACGGAGGAGCACGAAGGUUAGCUAAUCCUGGUCGGACAUCAGGAGGUUAGUGCAAUGGCAUAAGCUAGCUUGACUGCGAGAGUGACGGCUCGAGCAGGUGCGAAAGCAGGUCAUAGUGAUCCGGUGGUUCUGAAUGGAAGGGCCAUCGCUCAACGGAUAAAAGGUACUCCGGGGAUAACAGGCUGAUACCGCCCAAGAGUUCAUAUCGACGGCGGUGUUUGGCACCUCGAUGUCGGCUCAUCACAUCCUGGGGCUGAAGUAGGUCCCAAGGGUAUGGCUGUUCGCCAUUUAAAGUGGUACGCGAGCUGGGUUUAGAACGUCGUGAGACAGUUCGGUCCCUAUCUGCCGUGGGCGCUGGAGAAUUGAGGGGGGCUGCUCCUAGUACGAGAGGACCGGAGUGGACGCAUCACUGGUGUUCGGGUUGUCAUGCCAAUGGCACUGCCCGGUAGCUAAAUGCGGAAGAGAUAAGUGCUGAAAGCAUCUAAGCACGAAACUUGCCCCGAGAUGAGUUCUCCCUGAGACUUUAAGUCUCCUGAAGGAACGUUGAAGACUACGACGUUGAUAGGUCGGGUGUGUAAGCGCAGCGAUGCGUUGAGCUAACCGAUACUAAUGAACCGUGAGGCUUAACCUUACAACGCCGAAGGUGUUU